UUUGGUGUUGUGGUCUCUGUUAUUUUGGUAUAUGGAUUUUGCCUUAGUUUUGUUUGUAUUGCGCGGGUGAUUCGGUUUUGUUGGUAUUGUUUUGGUGAUUGUUGUGCUUCUUUCUUACCAGUUUCCUUCUUGAUCAAGUUUGUCUAGGGUUUUGGCGAAUUAUAUGAUGUUUGCGAUGGAUUGGUGUGGUUUUCUUGGAUUUUCGGAUUGCUAAUUCAGAAUAACCUAAUUUCUUUUCCAAUUUCCUUUCUAUUAUUUAGCUUCUCUGGUAUUGAUGACCGAUUAUUUUCUUAUGCGUUUAUUCGUGACUGGCUAUUUGAUGUCGGAGACUUAUCAAUUUGGUGUGUUAUUUGUGUUUAUUCCUAUUUGGUGUGUUUAUCCUGAUUUCUCGAUGAGUUUCCUUUCUAUUACGUAAUUUCUCUUGAUUUGAUCACCAAACGUCGGAUUGAAUUUUCAAUUGUUUCUCUACGCAGCGUUGUUUGGAUUAUUUCCGUUUAGUGUUAUCAGCAUCUCAUGGAGCAUGUUAUGAGCGACCGUGUCUCCCUUGGUUUUUUUAAUUCUUAAAUUGAUCUAAUUUUUUAUAAACUGUGUCCUCUAUUACCAGUUAUAGUAUUACCAGUUAUAGUUUUCUUGAAUUCUUGUUCUUUGCAGAGAUGUGAGAGAUGUGUGGGUUAGGAUGUGCAAAACAGUGGCGGGAGAUUCCUUGAACAGUGAAGCAUUAGUUGUUCUUUUUACUCUUACAUUAAUUUUUUCUUUUGCAUUAAUUCUUGAUUGGAUGAACUUUCGGGUUUAUUUUUAUUUUUUUCUUCUUAGGCAUAACCAAAUUUAUAAUGGAAGGCCAAAGAAUCUCCAAUUUUAGGAGAUGAUCAUGACCACUGGAUGGAAUAAUGACAUUUGUUCUUUUAGCAGUUUCUACUAUGGUGAUCUUUAGGGAUAAAUUGAAAAGGGUAACAAGUAUAAGUAAAUUUAUUUUUUUCUUUGAUUACACAUUUGUUGGUUUCUUGACAUUUUGUGAACCCUUUUUUCUUGCAGUGUGAUUGGAGUAGUUUUGGGUCGGUAUUCUAUUUGAACUGGAUUUUGUAUUCUCAAAUUUGCUUUGUGUUUCCACUUCUCGUCGGUCUAGUAUGUUAUUCCCACCGCUUCAUACCAAGCUCUAACUUUAUGCCUGGUGUUCUGUUGAUAUUUCCAUAUCAGGAAUGGUUUGGAUAUGUUUU
This 1214-nucleotide long non-coding RNA is filed under the name Phaseolus vulgaris (common bean). RNAcentral's name for it is "long non-coding RNA (PVUL_LNC004801)". Lineage: Eukaryota; Viridiplantae; Streptophyta; Magnoliopsida; Fabales; Fabaceae. The record is from RNAcentral.